Drosophila montana is the source of this 565-nucleotide long non-coding RNA. RefSeq lists it as uncharacterized. The record is from RefSeq and is a predicted model, not a curated record. The transcript has 2 exons. NCBI's taxonomy places the organism in Eukaryota, Metazoa, Arthropoda, Insecta, Diptera, Drosophilidae.
CUUACAGAUUGACGCCAUCGUAGCCAGCCCCAAUGCCCACAUGGUCAAUACCAGCCACCUCGCGUAUGUGGUUUAUAUGCGCUGCAAAGUGGAUAGUAGGAAAUGGGUUAAUAACAUAGUUAAUUUUCUUUUAAAUCGGCAAACCUACCCACGACAUCGUGCAGUGUCGCCUGCCCCGAGCAGCUGACAAAGUGCGGAUAGAACGCAACCAUAACCAAGCCGCCGUUAAUGGCCUGUAAACCUGUUUAUUACGUACAAUGCGCUGCAAUACAUGAUCCGGUACAUUGCGGGAGCUAUUACAUAUGGCAUGCGCCGAGGAGUGCGAGAAUAUGAGCGGCGCUCGGGAUGUGGCCAAUGCAUCCAGCAUUGUUGGCACCGACACGUGCGACAGAUCGACAAUCAUGCCCAAGCGAUUCAUUUCCUUCACCACAAGCUGUCAAAAAGAUUUGAUUAAGUGGAAAAAUCAAAAAGAAUAUUUUAACAAUACGAAUUAAUCAUUCCGCUGGGUACCCUUUAAAGUUAAGAUUUAAUAAUAAUAAUAAUAAUAAUUUGACCUGCGCAACUC